UUUGGUGGCGAAAGAGAAGAGGUCACACCCGUUCCCAUGCCGAACACGGAAGUUAAGCUCUUCAGCGCCGAUGGUAGUCGGGG
This 83-nucleotide ribosomal RNA is filed under the name Bacillus sp. C28GYM-DRY-1. The record is from RNAcentral. Lineage: Bacteria; Bacillati; Bacillota; Bacilli; Caryophanales; Bacillaceae.